RNAcentral lists this transfer RNA (106 nucleotides) under Auriscalpium vulgare. Its description in RNAcentral is "tRNA-Val". Lineage: Eukaryota; Fungi; Basidiomycota; Agaricomycetes; Russulales; Auriscalpiaceae. The record is from RNAcentral.
GGUUCGAUGGCGUAGUUGGUUAUCGCAUCUGUCUAACACCGAGUUGGGCCAAACAGCCAAACUUCGGGAUCACAGAAGGUCCUCAGUUCGAGCCUGGGUCGAAUCA